RNAcentral lists this ribosomal RNA (253 nucleotides) under uncultured bacterium. Its description in RNAcentral is "partial 16S ribosomal RNA". It matches the Rfam family "Bacterial small subunit ribosomal RNA", at positions 524 to 776 of the family's 1533-position model. The record is from RNAcentral.
UACGUAGGGUCCGAGCGUUGUCCGGAAUUAUUGGGCGUAAAGGGCUCGUAGGCGGUUUGUCGCGUCGGGAGUGAAAACACGGGGCUUAACCCCGUGCCUGCUUCCGAUACGGGCAGACUAGAGGUAUGCAGGGGAGAACGGAAUUCCUGGUGUAGCGGUGAAAUGCGCAGAUAUCAGGAGGAACACCGGUGGCGAAGGCGGUUCUCUGGGCCGAUAUCGACGCUGAGGAGCGAAAGCGUGGGGAGCGAACAGG